RNAcentral lists this ribosomal RNA (407 nucleotides) under uncultured bacterium. RNAcentral's name for it is "partial 16S ribosomal RNA". It matches the Rfam family "Bacterial small subunit ribosomal RNA", at positions 30 to 526 of the family's 1533-position model. The record is from RNAcentral.
AUUGAACGCUGGCGGCAGGCCUAACACAUGCAAGUCGAGCGGAGCGGCGGACGGGUGAGUAAUGCCUAGGAAUCUGCCUGGUAGUGGGGGAUAACGUUCGGAAACGGGCGCUAAUACCGCAUACUAUCAGAUGAGCCUAGGUCGGAUUAGCUAGUUGGUGGGUUAAAGGCUCACCAAGGCGACGAUCCGUAACUGGUCUGAGAGGAUGAUCAGUCACACUGGAACUGAGACACGGUCCAGACUCCUACGGGAGGCAGCAGUGGGGAAUAUUGGACAAUGGGCGAAAGCCUGAUCCAGCCAUGCCGCGUGAGUGAAGAAGGUCUUCGGAUUGUAAAGCACUUUAAGUUGGGAGGCGGUACCAACAGAAUAAGCACCGGCUAACUACGUGCCAGCAGCCGCGGUAAUUC